Long non-coding RNA from Cyprinus carpio carpio, 575 nucleotides. NCBI's taxonomy places the organism in Eukaryota, Metazoa, Chordata, Actinopteri, Cypriniformes, Cyprinidae. The record is from Ensembl.
UGUACUCUCAAUCUGAGGUGGAAUGGGUCUGUGCAAUCUAUAACUUUUAUUUUUAUAUAUUUUUUUUUUAAAUAGAGAUGCAGCAUCUUAUUUAUGAGAUUUUGGAGGCUCUUAUUUUGUAAUUCCACAUCAGACAAUCCUGAAACGAUGCAGCUGACACUGUGGCAAGGUGUACUCUCAAUCUGAGGUGGAACUGGUUUGUGCAAUCCAUAACUUUCAUUUUUAUAUAUUUUUUUUAAAAUAGAUGCAGCAGUUUAUUUAUGAGAUUUGGGAGGCUCUUAUUUUGUAAUUCCACAUCAGACAGUCCUGAAACGAUGCAGCUGACACUGUGGCAAGGUGUACUCUCAAUCUGAGGUGAAAGUGGUCUGUGCAAUCAGUAACUUUUAUUUUGAUAGAUUUUUGAAAGUAGAGAUGCAGCAGAUUAUUUAUGAGAUUUGGGAGGCUAUUAUUUUGUAAUUCCACAUCAGACAGUCCUGAAACGACGCAGUUGACACUGUGGAAAGGUGUACUCUCAAUCUGAGGUGAAAGUGGUCUGUGCAAUCUAGAACUUUUAUUUUUAUUUGUUUUUAAAUAUA